CAAGUCGAGGGGUAACGAUGGUGCUUGCACCAGUCGACGACAGGCGCACGGGUGAGUAACGCGUAUACAAUCUACCUUUAACAGGAGGACAGGCCGAAGAAAUUCGGAUUAAUACCCCAUAACACUAUGAUAUCACCUGGUAUUAAAAUUAAAGCUCCGGCGGUUUGAGAUGGGCAUGCGUGACAUUAGCUAGUUGGUAAGGUAAAGGCUUACCAAGGCAACGAUGUCUAGGGGUUCUGAGAGGAUGAUCCCCCACACUGGUACUGAGACACGGACCAGACUCCUACGGGAGGCAGCAGUGAGGAAUAUUGGUCAAUGGGCGCAAGCCUGAACCAGCCAUCCCGCGUGUAGGAAGACUGCCCUAUGGGUUGUAAACUACUUUUAUAAAGGAAGAAACCCUUCUACGUGUAGAAGGCUGACUGUACUUUAAGAAUAAGCACCGGCUAACUCCGUGCCAGCAGCCGCGGUAAUACGGAGGGUGCAAGCGUUAUCCGGAUUUAUUGGGUUUAAAGGGUGCGUAGGCGGAUUAAUAAGUCAGUGGUGAAAUCCUGCAGCUUAACUGUAGAACUGCCAUUGAUACUGUUGAUCUUGAGUAUAGUUGAGGUAGGCGGAAUGUGUAAUGUAGCGGUGAAAUGCUUAGAUAUUACACAGAACACCGAUUGCGUAGGCAGCUUACUAAGCUAUAACUGACGCUGAUGCACGAAAGCGUGGGGAGCGAACAGGAUUAGAUACCCUGGUAGUCCACGCCGUAAACGAUGAUCACUCGUUGUUGGCGAUACACAGUCAGCGACUGAGCGAAAGCAUUAAGUGAUCCACCUGGGGAGUACGAUCGCAAGAUUGAAACUCAAAGGAAUUGACGGGGGCCCGCACAAGCGGAGGAACAUGUGGUUUAAUUCGAUGAUACGCGAGGAACCUUACCUGGGCUUAAAUGUAGAGUGCAUUUUUUGGAAACAAAAUUUCCUUCGGGACUCCUUUACAAGGUGCUGCAUGGUUGUCGGCAGCUCGUGCCGUGAGGUGUCGGGUUAAGUCCCAUAACGAGCGCAACCCCUACUGUUAGUUGCCAUCGGGUCAUGCCGGGGACUCUAACGGGACUGCCGGUGUAAACCGCGAGGAAGGUGGGGAUGACGUCAAAUCAGCACGGCCCUUAUGUCCAGGGCUACACACGUGUUACAAUGGCCGAUACAAUGAGCAGCUACCAGGCAACUGGAUGCUAAUCUCCAAAGUCGGUCUCAGUUCGGAUCGGAGUCUGCAACUCGACUUCGGGAAGGGGGAGGCGCUAGGAAGCGGAUAUCAGCCAGGAUCCGGUGAAUACGGGCCCGGGCCUUGUAGACACCGCCGUCAAGCCAUGGAAGUCUGGGGUGCCUGAAG
Molecule: ribosomal RNA, 1368 nt
Filed under: uncultured prokaryote
Description: partial 16S ribosomal RNA
Rfam family: Bacterial small subunit ribosomal RNA
Source: RNAcentral